Molecule: ribosomal RNA, 492 nt
Filed under: uncultured bacterium
Lineage: Bacteria
Description: partial 16S ribosomal RNA
Rfam family: Bacterial small subunit ribosomal RNA
Source: RNAcentral
GGUGAACGCUGGCGGUAGGCCUAACACAUGCAAGUCGAACGGCAGCACAGUAAGAGCUUGCUCUUACGGGUGGCGAGUGGCGGACGGGUGAGGAAUACAUCGGAAUCUACUUUUUCGUGGGGGAUAACGUAGGGAAACUUACGCUAAUACCGCAUACGACCUACGGGUGAAAGCAGGGGAUCUUCGGACCUUGCGCGAUUGAAUGAGCCGAUGUCGGAUUAGCUAGUUGGCUGGGUAAAGGCCCACCAAGGCGACGAUCCGUAGCUGGUCUGAGAGGAUGAUCAGCCACACUGGAACUGAGACACGGUCCAGACUCCUACGGGAGGCAGCAGUGGGGAAUAUUGGACAAUGGGCGCAAGCCUGAUCCAGCCAUACCGCGUGGGUGAAGAAGGCCUUCGGGUUGUAAAGCCCUUUUGUUGGGAAAGAAAAGCAGCAGGUUAAUACCCCGCUGUUCUGACGGUACCCAAAGAAUAAGCACCGGCUAACUUCGUG